GCAUCAACCUUUUGGCGGUUUUGACUUGACGUCGACACACAAACUGCUGCCUCUGUUGCCUUUUCUCAUGACCUGUGUUUGAGAACUGUAUUCCGUCUUAUCCCCGCAGGUCGCUGCAAGCCGGAGAGUCGUGUGUGACUUGGGAUUCCAGACUUAGCUGACGUUUGGACGAGCCUCAGGGUCUGGAAUGUCCUGGCGAUGUGGAGGAGUAGGAGGAGGAGGUCCGGGCUACUCGGCUGUGUGUGGGCGGUGUUGGGAGUUCCUGCGGAGUGCGAGCGAGUUCUAUCUUUCUCACAGGCGUUAGCAAGAGCAAAGGUCAAAGACAUUCUCACAAAACUGGUUUUCACAGUGAUUUGCCAGAUAAUUUUAACAAAAUCUGAGAUCAUUGUGAAAACUGAUUUUGUCCCCUUGAGCAGCCCAAAGAGCAACAUUCGAUGCUCUGAACGGAUGGACAACCACGUCAUGAUUUGCCUCUAUGGAUCACGGCCGUACAGACCACAGAUGAUCCAUGGGCGUCACGACAUGAGGAUAGGGCAAGCAAGCUUUUUGGUGGAAAAGAUGCGUGCAAGUGCAAGGAAUAUUUGAAAUGACUCCAGGAGACCCCAGUUUGUUUUUGUACCAGGAUCAUCAUCACCCGGUGCCUUUCCGACUGGCGUGGGCGAUCAUGGACCUCCACUUCCAUCUGUCUUGCGUUGCAGCAAUGGUUUCUGUUGCUCUUGCUGCUCCCAGCCAUGGUGUCAACUUGUCCAGUAUCUUUUCCCUCUUUCAGUCUCUGCCUCUCUUUCCAUCAAACUUGCCUCAUGUUACAAUAUAUCUUUCCGCGUUGUAUGUCAAAUUAAAUUUGCCUGUCGCUUUCGUAUAUUCGUCAUAAGCUGUCGCACCAGGAUAAUUUGGCCUAAAAAUCCAAUAAAUUGACUCUGGACAUGUUAUAUACUGGGUGAUUCAAAAUGAAUACACCAAAAUCAUCAUACGAUAUUUCAACCCAAAAAAAAAGAAAUCAAUAGAAAACUCCAGCUUGGACACGUGUUGUACAUACCUUCAGGUUUUUUUUAUUUCAAGUUUUACAUUUGCUUAAUGUGGCCACCACCGGUUUUUGAUUUUUGAAAUAUUGUGUGAUAAUUUUGGUUUAUUCUUUUUGAAUUACCCUGUAUAUACAUAUGUAAUUUUAAGACCCCAUCGACACAUUCCGUUAAAGCUAAAGAUGAAAGUCCUAUUCUAUUCGGGUAUGUGGUGAAGCCCCUCCCUGUCACACGCAGAAGAGAUGAGUUCAAUUCCCGUGUGGUAAUUAUUUUUAUCGAGUACCGGUAUCUUGGUCUUUCUUCCAGGAAGUUGUAGGUAUCCCUCUUAGCUCGAGUUUGCCCUGGACAGGCAGUGUCAAAACCUGCCUCUUAUCUUAAAGUAUCUGAAUUGUGUCGAUAGGAGUGUAAAAUCUCCUACACAAAAUGGCCAAGUCCAGGCGUGGCGUUGACGUGACCAAAUUAUAGUGUCGAUUGCCCUUUUAAGAAAUACAAUACCCAAACAGAGGAACAAAACUGUUGCCUUUUAUGUUUCCUUUAUUGCUUGCUUUUUAAAAUAAUCUUUUUGAGAAAACGUGCAUUUUUCCUUCAAAUACAGAACGCUCGAACUACUCUUUUCAGAGGAAUAUGUAGUCUGAUUGCGCUCCAGAUCGGAAAAAACAUGUGUACAGUCGAAUGUGUGCUAACCGUAUAAGACAAUUACUUGUACAAAGGGCCACUUCCCAUUUUCUCUCUUGCCAACAUGUAUUUUUACAUUAUAACGACACUGAGUAAAAUGCCCAUCUGCCCUUGACAGCUACUUAUCUUCACGACAAUGGGUUGCCGCUUUGAACAAUUUAUACUGUAAUUUUUUUUUUUUAACUUUGCAACAUUUUGCUUUCGAGUCAUGAGCUCAUAACUUCCCUAUAUUCUGAAACCAUGGUGAUACAUUACGCCAAGUGUUUGCCUCUAUUUGACGUUCCAAGUCUUUGACAAAACAUUUUCAGUUUGUUUCUUUCAACACGGAUUUGUUAACGUCUCCUUCUGCAUUUGUCCAGAUGCUAUGCUCGGUUUACUACAUGUUAAUAAAAAACAGAAUAUGUCCAAUCCA
Long non-coding RNA from Aplysia californica (California sea hare), 2106 nucleotides. RefSeq lists it as uncharacterized. NCBI's taxonomy places the organism in Eukaryota, Metazoa, Mollusca, Gastropoda, Aplysiida, Aplysiidae. The transcript has 2 exons. The record is from RefSeq and is a predicted model, not a curated record.